AAUAGAUACCCGGGUAGUCCACGCCCUAAACUAUGUCAACUAGUUGUCGGGGAAGAAAUUCCUUGGUAACGCAGCUAACGCGUGAAGUUGACCGCCUGGGGAGUACGGCCGCAAGGUUAAAACUCAAAGGAAUUGACGGGGACCCGCACAAGCGGUGGAUUAUGUGGAUUAAUUCGAUGCAACGCGAAAAACCUUACCUACCCUUGACAUGUACGGAAUUCCGCAGAGAUGUGGAAGUGCCCGAAAGGGAACCGUAACACAGGUGCUGCAUGGCUGUCGUCAGCUCGUGUCGUGAGAUGUUGGGUUAAGUCCCGCAACGAGCGCAACCCUUGCCAUUAGUUGCUACAUUCAGUUGGGCACUCUAAUGGGACCGCCGGUGACAAACCGGAGGAAGGUGGGGAUGACGUCAAGUCCUCAUGGCCCUUAUGGGUAGGGCUUCACACGUAAUACAAUGGUCGGUACAGAGGGCUGCCAACCCGCAAGGGGGAGCUAAUCCCAGAAAGCCGAUCGUAGUCCGGAUUGUAGUCUGCAACUCGACUGCAUGAAGCCGGC
Molecule: ribosomal RNA, 552 nt
Filed under: uncultured bacterium
Lineage: Bacteria
Description: bacterial SSU rRNA
Rfam family: Bacterial small subunit ribosomal RNA
Source: RNAcentral